Molecule: ribosomal RNA, 435 nt
Filed under: Leptocylindrus danicus
Lineage: Eukaryota; Bacillariophyta; Leptocylindrophyceae; Leptocylindrales; Leptocylindraceae
Description: partial Bacterial large subunit ribosomal RNA
Rfam family: Bacterial large subunit ribosomal RNA
Source: RNAcentral
GUAACGGAGGCGUGCAAUGGUAAAUUCAAUUCGAUUAUAUCGCGAAUUUAGAGCAUAAUAGUAUAUAUUUGCCUGAUUGUAAGAUUGACAAAUCGAACAAGGACGCAAGUCGGUUAUAGUGAUCCGGUGAUUCUUAGUGGAAAGAUCAUCGCUCAACGAAUAAAAGGUACGCCGGGGAUAACAGGCUAAUCACUCCCUAGAGACCCUAUCGACGGAGUGGUUUGGCACCUCGAUGUUGGAUUAUCACAUCCUGGAAUUGUAAGUGAUUCCAAGGGUUUGGCUGUUCGCCAAGUAAGGUGGUACAUGAUCUGAGUUCAGAACGUCGUGAGACAGUUUGGUCCCUAUCUGCCGUGGGUGUUGGAAACUUGAGAGGAUCUGUCCUUAGUACGAGAGGACCGGGAUGGACAUACCUCUGGUGGACCUGUUGUGGCGCCA